CCAACAAAGGUCCCUAUCUGUUGGGGCCGUUAAGGCUUGGUUUCGCAGAGUUACGCGUGAAAUUCACCGCCUGGGGAAUACGGGCGCAAGAGUAAAACUCCAAGGAAUUGGCGGGGACCCCCCCCAGCGGGGGAUGAUGGGGAUUAAUUCCAUGGAACGCGAAAAACCUUUCCUACCCUUGGCAUGUCUGAAAUCUCGAAAAAAUUUGUGAGUGCUCUCCAGAAAACCGGAACACAGGUGCUGCUUGGUUGUCGCCAGCUCGGGUCGUGAAAUGUGGGGUUAAGCCCCGCAACGAGCGCAACCCUAGCCAUUAGUUGCUACGCAAGAGCACUCUAAUGAAACUGCCGUGGACAAACCGGACCAAGGUGAAGAUGACGACAAGUCCUCAUGGCCCUUAUGGGUAGGGCUUCACACGUCAUACAAUGGUCGGGACAGAGGGAAGCCAACCCGCCACGGGGAGCCAAUCUCAAAAACCCGAUCGCAUUCCGGAUCGCAUUGUGCACUUCAACUGCGCUAAAUGAAAAUCGAUACUAAUCGCGGAUCAAAAUGUAAUGGUGAAUACAAUCCCGGGCCUGGUACACACCGCCCGUCCCACCAUGGGAUUGGGUUUCACCACAAAAAAAAUAACCUAACCUAAACGAGGGCGCUUACCUUAGCGCUAUUCGUUACUGGAGUGAAGUCAAAACGAGGCAACCGAAACCGG
This 703-nucleotide ribosomal RNA is filed under the name Achromobacter sp. RNAcentral's name for it is "bacterial SSU rRNA". The stretch from base 72 to 703 matches the Rfam family "Bacterial small subunit ribosomal RNA", at positions 874 to 1509 of the family's 1533-position model. The record is from RNAcentral. Lineage: Bacteria; Pseudomonadati; Pseudomonadota; Betaproteobacteria; Burkholderiales; Alcaligenaceae.